This 637-nucleotide ribosomal RNA is filed under the name Euseius scutalis. Its description in RNAcentral is "eukaryotic LSU rRNA". The stretch from base 326 to 482 matches the Rfam family "5.8S ribosomal RNA". The record is from RNAcentral. Lineage: Eukaryota; Metazoa; Arthropoda; Arachnida; Mesostigmata; Phytoseiidae.
UCGUAACAAGGUUUCCGUAGGUGAACCUGCGGAAGGAUCAUUACUGAUUGAAAAUCCAUUCACUUACCCGUCCGGGGAGAAUGGUGCGUGUAUGAUGUCCUAUCUUAGGCUCUUGCACGCCGGUCCGCCGGGUGCUCGCUGUCUUCGAGAGGCAUGUUCAAAACUUGUAUUUGAUACGUAGUGCGGUUCACUUGUGUCGUGGCGCGCUGCUCAAUUGCAGCGCUACCGUCCACAGACGCGGGUGAUGCGUGAGUCGGUACACAUCCCGACAACACCUUUACUUCGUCACGAAGUCGUUGUGUGCUAUCGAGAAGAAAAAAACCAAGACUCAAUAUGGGGGAUCACUUAGUCCUUAAAUCGAUGAAAAACAUAGUAAUUUGUGGAAAUUGAUGUGAGUUGUGAAAUUUUGUGAGCAUUGUGUUUUUGAAUGAAAAUUUCAGCACGGACACUUCUGUAUCUGUGCUACAUUUGUUUCAGUAUAUAAACCGAAUCAUAAGUAUUUACCUUUGCUGCAGCCCUCGUCGGCAACGCCAUGCAAUGGUAUAAAUUCUCAUUGGUCACGAGAGUGAUACCAACCCAAACCAUUAUGACGUGUAUCUGAAAUCAAGUGUGACGACCCCCUGAAUUUAAGCAUAUA